This 510-nucleotide ribosomal RNA is filed under the name uncultured bacterium. RNAcentral describes it as "partial 16S ribosomal RNA". It matches the Rfam family "Bacterial small subunit ribosomal RNA", at positions 28 to 507 of the family's 1533-position model. The record is from RNAcentral.
GACGAACGCUGGCGGCGUGCUUAACACAUGCAAGUCGAACGAAGAGCGAUGGAAGCUUGCUUCUAUCAAUCUUAGUGGCGCACGGGUGAGUAACGCGUAAUCAACCUGCCCUUCAGAGGGGGACAACAGUUGGAAACGACUGCUAAUACCGCAUACGAUCUAAUCUCGGCAUCGAGGAUAGAUGAAAGGUGGCCUCUACAUGUAAGCUAUCACUGAAGGAGGGGUUUGCGUCUGAUUAGCUAGUUGGAGGGGUAACGGCCCAACAAGGCGAUGAUCGGUAGCCGGUCUUGGAGGAUGGACGGCCACAAUGGGACUGAGACACGGCCCAGACUCCUUCGGGAGGCAGCAGUGGGGAAUCUUCCGCAAUGGACGAAAGGCUGACGGAGCAACGCCGCGUGAGUGAUGACGGCCUUCGGGUUGUAAAGCUCUGUUAAUCGGGACGAAAGGCCUUCUUGCGAAUAGUGAGAAGGAUUGACGGUACCGGAAUAGAAAGCCACGGCUAACUACGUG